UACGGAGGAUCCAAGCGUUAUCCGGAUUUAUUGGGUUUAAAGGGUGCGUAGGCGGUUUAUUAAGUCAGGGGUGAAAGACGGCAGCUUAACUGUCGCAGUGCCUUUGAUACUGAUGAACUUGAAUAUACUAGAAGUAGGCGGAAUGUGACAAGUAGCGGUGAAAUGCAUAGAUAUGUCACAGAACACCGAUUGCGAAGGCAGCUUACUAUGGUAUUAUUGACGCUGAGGCACGAAAGCGUGGGGAUCAAACAGG
Molecule: ribosomal RNA, 253 nt
Filed under: uncultured bacterium
Lineage: Bacteria
Description: partial 16S ribosomal RNA
Rfam family: Bacterial small subunit ribosomal RNA
Source: RNAcentral